AGUGAACGCUGGCGGUAGGCCUAACACAUGCAAGUCGAACGGCAGCACAGUAAGAGCUUGCUCUUACGUGUGGCGAGUGGCGGGCGGGUGAGGUAUACAUCGGACUCUACAGUUUCGUGGGGGAUCACGGAGGGACACAUACUCUAAUACCGCAUACGCCCUACGGGUGAAAGCAGGGGCUCUUCGGACCUUGCGCGAUUGAAUGAGCCGAUGUCGGAUUAGCUAGUUGGCGGGGUAAAGGCCCACCAAGGCGACGAUCCGUAGCUGGUCUGAGAGGAUGAUCAGCCACACUGGAACUGAGACACGGCCCAGACUCCUACGGGAGGCAGCAGUGGGGAAUAUUGGACAAUGGGCGCAAGCCUGAUCCAGCCAUACCGCGUGAGUGAAGAAGGCCUUCGGGUUGUAAAGCCCUUUUGUUGGGAAAGAAAAGCAGCAGGCUAAUACCCCGCUGUUCUGACGGUACCCAAAGAAUAAGCACCGGCUAACUUCGUG
This 492-nucleotide ribosomal RNA is filed under the name uncultured bacterium. Its description in RNAcentral is "partial 16S ribosomal RNA". It matches the Rfam family "Bacterial small subunit ribosomal RNA", at positions 29 to 507 of the family's 1533-position model. The record is from RNAcentral.